Non-coding RNA from Salvelinus sp. IW2-2015, 2370 nucleotides. Lineage: Eukaryota; Metazoa; Chordata; Actinopteri; Salmoniformes; Salmonidae. The record is from RefSeq and is a predicted model, not a curated record.
CACAGUGAGUCUGUCUGCUCUACUGAUAGUCCGGCCCCGCCGCGGAUGUGGCGAGCGAGGAAAUGCUGGUAGCCUAUUCUUUAUGAAUAUUUCUAAAAGAGCCGGCGAACGCAACACAGCUCCUUUUGCUAUGGAUGCUUCUUUGCCGAAGUUUAUAUAGGCCUACUUUGCUACACUGUUACAAUGUAUCGACUCAAGAGCGCGGAUCACUACGUAGCCUAGUCGUCAUUUCUCACACUCGCAUCAUUGUUGCCGCGGUGCAGCGAGGACACGAUAGUUACAGGGAGAGACAGACAAACACAGCGUGACUGCUCUGGACUUGAACUUGAACUUCAUUUUGAAAUUGGCGUCCAUGUGUAAUCGAGGUUAGUCUUCUUUUUCCCAUAAGCAAUACUCAUUUUCUGUGAUUCAAUGACAAACUACGAGGAGAAAUGAGGAAAAUACAGAUGUUUUGAAGACAAUAAACUAAGCUGCUGGCUGCUCCACCUCGGACACUGAAGAAGUGGACAUUUCAGAUCAACAGAAAGUAAAAGAAUUGGAGAGUGCAUAUUAUAGAUGUUGUUAUAACAGGAUAACUACAUUAUGGUUCUGGAUCUACUACCCUGGUGGAAAAUAAGGCCUGUCUGGAUUUCAACAUCCUGGAUUUCGCAUCCUUAGUUGGUGUGUGCUGCUGACUGUCUACCCAUGUCCGAUUUGAGGCUGAUUGGAUCUGGGGGUGAUGUAUAGAGACAGAACAGACCCMGGAUUAAAGGUGAAAUUAGGUUUAAUUUAAAUAUUCUUGGUUCUUAAGCUUAUUAAGGUACAGUUUAUAUUGGUUUGGUAUUCGGUUUGCUUUUCAUUGUGUGAUUUUCAUUGUACACUAAGUAAAAUCAAUGGCACUAUGUAGCUGUUGGGUUUAACCUGAAAUGAAAAGCGUCUCGCCUCAUUUUUCAGUAGCCUGCAGUUACACAAAGUUAGUCAAAUGUUUAUGAUGCAGUUGUUUGCUUUGAAUGRACCCUCGCACUCACAGUAUAAGAGAAAAAAUCUCAUCUAGUAGACUGUGGUUACAGUAAUGUUAGUGAUAUGUACAGUACAGUAAAAGCUGCUCAUACUCUGAAGCCGCCAAAGAAAUCAGUGAAAGAGGGAAAGUAAAUCCAAUACCUCAAAGGUCAGAUGAAGAUGAAGAGACAGUGGACUGCGGUUGGCUCCCUGAGAAGUGCAACCCACAGUGGGUUGGCACCCUGAACUACACAAAGUCCCUAUUGUCAGUGGGUGCACUGCAAACAGCACUCAAUAGACCUAUAAGGCCUACGGCUCCAGUCCUGGGGGAAAAGCACCACCUGUUGGCCGUUUGGUAAUAUACUGCAGAUUGACUAGGCAAGUUCUAGAAUCAUGCUUGUGUGAUGAGUAACCUUGCCUGAAACCUGUAGACUUAUGCUCCCUUAGUGAAUGCUCAGCCUUUAUGGGAUAACAUGAAUGCUCAGUGGGAUAACAUAGUCUUUUGGCAUGCUGGAGACCCAGGUUCAAACCCCGGCCAUUCAAUAUUAGUGUCACAUGUUCAAAACAUUUCCACUAAAAUGGCCUGCCCUUCAGCACCCCGAUGAAUGAUGUCUGUGAAGGGAAGUUGAUGAUGUGCCAUUAGAAAUAGAACAAUAUUUUGUCUGUGAGUUUUGUGAGAGUGUCCUUUACCCUCAGUGGAGUCGUGAAGUUCAGCCAUGGUUCAGCUCCUCUUCUCUACAAUGGAGAAUGAAUCCGCUCCAUUCAUAUAAAGCAAAAUGAAAGCCACUGACUGUGCGGGAGGUUUCACAAAGCUAGAGGCAGAGCCAGGGUAUUGAAGUGGGACACCUAAAGUUACACUUCCACAUGUUAUUAUAACCCUGUUAGUAUAAUAUAAUACGCAGCUUCCUGGACACAGACCAAGCCUACUACUGAACUAAAAAGCAUUCUCAAUGGAGAAUCUCUAUUGAAAGAUUUUUUMGGGUUCAGGWCUGUGCUUAAUGUGUCCAGGAAACGGAACCAAUGUAACCAAAUACAAAUACAUAUUAUAACCUAUUAAUAUAAUAGUACAACCCUAUUCGUUAAUAUGGUCUCACCCAUCCAGGUUGGAAUAGGAGGAGUAGCAUUGAACUGACAGUGCAUUGCUAUGGAGGGAUACACUGUGACUGUGCCCAGACAAUGUAGAAACAGUGAUACAGUCUAUUUACUUCAAUUGCCAUGUGGUUGUGUGUGUCCUAACAUUAGAUUGGCUAAAGAGGGCAUCUCUGGACACUGGCUGAAUGUGACAAUGUGAUUUCUCUUCUCAGUCAAAGCCCUGUGGUCAGUUACAUUGAUAACAUAUACACUGAGUGUGUAUAUGAAGAACACCUUCCUAARAUUGAGUUGAGUUGCACC